UACAGAGGGUGCAAGCGUUGUUCGGAUUCAUUGGGCGUAAAGGGUGUGUAGGUGGCGCCGUAAGUCGGGUGUGAAAUUUCGGAGCUUAACUCCGAAACUGCAUUCGAUACUGCGGUGCUUGAGGACUGGAGAGGAGACUGGAAUUCAUGGUGUAGCAGUGAAAUGCGUAGAGAUCAUGAGGAAGACCAGUGGCGAAGGCGGGUCUCUGGACAGUUCCUGACACUGAGACACGAAGGCCAGGGGAGCAAACGGG
RNAcentral lists this ribosomal RNA (253 nucleotides) under uncultured bacterium. RNAcentral describes it as "partial 16S ribosomal RNA". It matches the Rfam family "Bacterial small subunit ribosomal RNA", at positions 524 to 776 of the family's 1533-position model. The record is from RNAcentral.